GCUGUCAUAAGUCAGAAAUGUCCAAAAUUUAUGGAGUGCCAAAACCAGUAUGUAUUAUUACACUCUACUUUAUCAUAAUAGACUCAACAAACACAAAAAAUACAACAACCAAACACAAAAAUGAAUGCUUUUUAUAUAUCAAACUAUUGGUUGCACAAUUGAUUGAAGCAUAUCUGAGGGAACAGAUGAGAAUAAAUGCAGAGAAGAUGAAAGUACUUGUGUUUCAGAGAGAUGAAGAAUGUAAAAGAUAUUAGGUUGAACUGAAUGGGAACAGAUCAAUGGGGACAGAAUCAAAGAAAUUUCCUUCUCUUUGCAUACUUAGAAAAUAAAUGCCAGAAUGGAGGGCAGCAUUGAUAGUGAGAUUAUGAGAAGAGCAAAUAUUGAAUUAAAAGUUAUGGGUACACUUGGAAGGUAUACAAGAAUGAGAAUCUGUCAAAAAUGCUAAGGUGGCUAUAUUAUCAGAGUAUGCUGGUUCCAGCAUUGAUGUAUGGAAGUGAGACCUGGGUAUGGGAUGAAAGGUAUAAUGUGUAUUUGAAUGCAAUAGAGAUG
This 549-nucleotide long non-coding RNA is filed under the name Androctonus crassicauda. Lineage: Eukaryota; Metazoa; Arthropoda; Arachnida; Scorpiones; Buthidae. The record is from RNAcentral.